AGCUUUAUGUAUUUCCCUAUAAGGUUAUUUCUGCCCAGUGAUUUAUUUUAACGGCCGCAGUACCUUGACUGUGCUAAGGUAGCAUAAUAAAUUGACUUUUAAUUGAAGUCUGGUAUGAACGGGAAAAUGGGGGGUGACUGUCUUAAUAAUUUUUUUGCUAAUUUACUUAUAAGGUGAAAAUUCCUUAAUAAAAGAUAAAAGACGAGAAGACCCUUAGAAUUUUAAUUAUUUGUAAUUUCUAUUGCUUUUUUUUUGUUGGGGUGAUAAAGUAAAAAUAAUAACUUACUAUGAUUAAUUAGCCGGAUAUUCUCAUGAAAGAAAAAAUUACCUUAGGGAUAACAGCAUAAUUUUUUUUUUAGAUUGUGACCUCGAUGUUGGACUAGGAACUUUAUAAUAAGCAAUUAGAAGAGAUAGUUCUGUUCGAACUUUUACUUCCU
RNAcentral lists this ribosomal RNA (437 nucleotides) under Tayloria amaniensis. Its description in RNAcentral is "partial 16S ribosomal RNA". It matches the Rfam family "Bacterial large subunit ribosomal RNA", at positions 1817 to 2597 of the family's 2925-position model. Lineage: Eukaryota; Metazoa; Mollusca; Gastropoda; Stylommatophora; Streptaxidae. The record is from RNAcentral.